AACGAACGCUGGCGGCAUGCCUAACACAUGCCAGUCGAACGAACCCUUCGGGUCUUUUGGCGCCCGGGUUCGUCACGCGUGGGAACCUUCCCUUAGGUUCGGACUAACUCCCCGACAGGGGUGCUAAUACCGGAUCAUGUCUUCGGACCAAAAAUUUGUUGACUUUGGAUGGGCCCGCGUUGGAUUAGCUCGUUGGUAGGGUAAAAGCCUACCAAGGCGAGGAUCCAUAGCUGGUUUGAGAGGAUGAUCAGCCACACUGGGACUGAGACACGGCCCAGAAUCCUACGGGAGGCAGGAGUGGGGAAUAUUGGACAAUGGGCGAAAGCAUGAUCCAGCAAUGCCGCGUGAGUGAUGAAGGCCUUAGGGUUGUAAAGCUCUUUUACCCGGGAUGAUAAUGACAGUACCGGGAGAAUAAGCUCCGGCUAACUCCGUG
This 433-nucleotide ribosomal RNA is filed under the name uncultured bacterium. RNAcentral's name for it is "partial 16S ribosomal RNA". It matches the Rfam family "Bacterial small subunit ribosomal RNA", at positions 29 to 507 of the family's 1533-position model. The record is from RNAcentral.